AUUUUUUUAGUAUCAUAAACCCCACCCGUGCGGCGUCUAUAAUCAAAGUCGAGCGGGGAAUCAUCCUUCGGAUAGGGCAGCGGGCAUACGGUAGUAACACGUGGGCCCCCCCAAACCGGAUAUCGGGAAACCGGGCGAUAAUACCGGAUAUCUCUUUUCCCCCGCAGGGGAAAAGGGGAAAGGCGGUUUUCGGCUGUCACAUUGCGUGAUGGCCCCCGGCCUUAGUGGUUGGUGAGGUAACGGCUCCACCAAGGGCGUGCGUUGCCAACCUUGAAGGUGUGGCCACACCUGGGAUGAGACCGCCCAGACUCUCGGGAGGCAGCAGUAGGGAAUUUUCCGCAAUGGGGAAAGCCUGACGGAGCAACGCCGCUGAGUGAGGACGGCCUUCGGGUUGUAAAACUCUGUUCUUGAGGAAGAAUUCCUUCCAGGCGAACAGCCUGGAAGGUUGACGGUACUCAAGGAGAAAGCCCCGGCUAACUACGUGCCAGCAGCCGCGGUAAUACGUAGGGGGCGAGCGUUAUCCGGAAUUAUUGGGCGUAAAGCGCGCGCAGGCGGCUGAUUAAGUCAGGUGUGAAAGGCUGCGGCUCAACCGCAGAGCGGCACCUGAAACUGGUCAGCUUGAGUGCAGGAGAGGGGAGCGGAAUUCCCGGUGUAGCGGUGGAAUGCGUAGAGAUCGGGAGGAACACCAGUGGCGAAGGCGGCUCUCUGGCCUGUAACUGACGCUGAGGCGCGAAAGCGUGGGGAGCAAACAGGAUUAGAUACCCUGGUAGUCCACGCCGUAAACGAUGAGUGCUAGGUGUUUUUGGGGGGGUCCCCCCUCAUGCCAAGGUAACCCAUUAAGCACUCCGCCGGGGAGUACGGCCCAAGGUUGAAACUCAAAGGAAUUGACGGGGGCCCCACAACGGUGGACCAGUGGUUUAAUUCGAAGCAACGCGAAGAACCUUACCAGGGCUUGACAUCCCCGCUGACCCCUCCUAAGAUGGAGGUUUCCUUCGGGACAGCGGUGACAGGUGGUGCAUGGUUGUCUCCACUCGUGUCGUGAGAAAUGUUGGGGUUCAGUCCCCAACGAAGCGCAACCUUUGUCGUUAAGUGCCAGCCAUUUCGAAUGGGCACUCUACCGAGACGCCCGUGAACCCGGAGAAAGGUGGGGAAUGACGUCCAAAUCAUCCAUGCCCCUAAGUUCCUGGGGUACACACAGUUGCCUACAAUUGGGCUGGUUACAACAGGGGUCAGGAAAACCCCCGGGGGUGAGCCAAUCCCAUUUACGAAAAAACCCUUAGUCCAAUUACAACACUCGGGCG
RNAcentral lists this ribosomal RNA (1301 nucleotides) under Thermoactinomyces vulgaris. RNAcentral describes it as "partial 16S ribosomal RNA". It matches the Rfam family "Bacterial small subunit ribosomal RNA", at positions 1 to 1328 of the family's 1533-position model. The record is from RNAcentral. Lineage: Bacteria; Bacillati; Bacillota; Bacilli; Caryophanales; Thermoactinomycetaceae.